AUGCUCUGGGCUCCCCUCAUCGUCCUGCUGGGGACGUGGUGCACAGGUUCCAGCUCACAGCUUCUGCUGACUCAGCCGCCCUCAGUGUCAGUGUCCCCAGGAAACACCAUGAAACUCUCCUGCACCAUGAGCAGUGGGACCAGCAUCAGUGGCUACGCUGUGUCCUGGUACCAACAGAAACCUGGGAAUUCUCCACAAUACCUGCUGUAUUACUAUAUGGAUACCAACAAGGGCCAGGGCUCUGGGGUCCCUGCUCGCUUCUCUGGGUCCAAAGACACGGCCAGUAACGCCGGCUAUCUGACCAUUGCCGGAGCCCUCACAAAGGAUGAUGCUGACUAUUACUGUGUUGUGUGGAGUGGGAGUGCUCCUCACAGUGACACAGACAGAUGGGGAAGGACCCAUGUGUAA
This is a non-coding RNA of Chrysemys picta bellii (western painted turtle), 408 nucleotides long. The record is from the annotation of a RefSeq genome assembly. NCBI's taxonomy places the organism in Eukaryota, Metazoa, Chordata, Testudines, Emydidae.